This 603-nucleotide ribosomal RNA is filed under the name Olleya marilimosa CAM030. RNAcentral's name for it is "bacterial SSU rRNA". It matches the Rfam family "Bacterial small subunit ribosomal RNA", at positions 343 to 946 of the family's 1533-position model. Lineage: Bacteria; Pseudomonadati; Bacteroidota; Flavobacteriia; Flavobacteriales; Flavobacteriaceae. The record is from RNAcentral.
GGGAGGCAGCAGUGAGGAAUAUUGGACAAUGGAGGCAACUCUGAUCCAGCCAUGCCGCGUGCAGGAAGACUGCCCUAUGGGUUGUAAACUGCUUUUAUACAGGAAGAAACCGCUCUACGUGUAGAGCCUUGACGGUACUGUAAGAAUAAGGAUCGGCUAACUCCGUGCCAGCAGCCGCGGUAAUACGGAGGAUCCAAGCGUUAUCCGGAAUCAUUGGGUUUAAAGGGUCCGUAGGUGGAUGAUUAAGUCAGAGGUGAAAUCCUGCAGCUCAACUGUAGAAUUGCCUUUGAUACUGGUUGUCUUGAGUUAUUAUGAAGUAGUUAGAAUAUGUAGUGUAGCGGUGAAAUGCAUAGAUAUUACAUAGAAUACCAAUUGCGAAGGCAGAUUACUAAUAAUACACUGACACUGAUGGACGAAAGCGUGGGGAGCGAACAGGAUUAGAUACCCUGGUAGUCCACGCCGUAAACGAUGGUCACUAGCUGUUCGGACUUCGGUCUGAGUGGCUAAGCGAAAGUGAUAAGUGACCCACCUGGGGAGUACGUUCGCAAGAAUGAANCUCAAANGAAUUGNNGGGGGCCCGCACAAGCGGNGGNNCAUGUGGUU